RNAcentral lists this ribosomal RNA (459 nucleotides) under uncultured bacterium. Its description in RNAcentral is "partial 16S ribosomal RNA". It matches the Rfam family "Bacterial small subunit ribosomal RNA", at positions 339 to 795 of the family's 1533-position model. The record is from RNAcentral.
CUACGGGUGGCAGCAGUGAGGAAUAUUGGUCAAUGGGCGCAAGCCUGAACCAGCCAAUCCGCGUGCAGGAUGAAUGCCCUAUGGGUUGUAAACUGCUUUUAUACAGGAAGAAUCCUUCAUACGUGUAUGGAGCUGACUGUACUGUAAGAAUAAGCAUCGUCUAACUCCGUGCCAGCAGCCGCGGUAAUACGGAGGAUGCGAGCGUUAUCCGGAUUUAUUAGGUCUAAAGGGUGCGUAGGCGGAUAAUUAAGUCAGUGGUGAAAUCCUGCAGCUUAACUGUAGAACUGCCAUUGAUACUGGUUGUCUUGAGUUUAGUUGAGGUAAGCGGAAUGUGUAGUGUAGCGGUGAAAUGCUUAGAUAUUACACAGAACACCGAUUGCGAAGGCAGCUUACUAAGCUACAACUGACGCUGAGGCACGAAAGCGUGGGGAGCGAACAGGAUUAGAUACCCCGGUAGUC